RNAcentral lists this ribosomal RNA (501 nucleotides) under uncultured bacterium. Its description in RNAcentral is "partial 16S ribosomal RNA". It matches the Rfam family "Bacterial small subunit ribosomal RNA", at positions 30 to 523 of the family's 1533-position model. The record is from RNAcentral.
AUUGAACGCUGGCGGCAUGCCUUACACAUGCAAGUCGAACGGCAGCACGGGUGCUUGCACCUGGUGGCGAGUGGCGAACGGGUGAGUAAUACAUCGGAACGUACCUUAUCGUGGGGGAUAACGCAGCGAAAGCUGUGCUAAUACCGCAUACGCCCUGAGGGGGAAAGCGGGGGAUCGCAAGACCUCGCGCGAUUAGAGCGGCCGAUGCCUGAUUAGCUUGUUGGUGGGGUAAAAGCCCACUAAGGCGACGAUCAGUAGCUGGUCUGAGAGGACGUUCAGCCACACUGGGACUGAGACACGGCCCAGACUCCUACGGGAGGCAGCAGUGGGGAAUUUUGGACGAUGGGGGCAACCCUGAUCCAGCAAUGCCGCGUGAGUGAAGAAGGCCUUCGGGUUGUAAAGCUCUUUUGUCAGGGAAGAAACACCGGCUCUAACACAGUCCGGGAAUGACGGUACCUGAAGAAUAAGCACCGGCUAACUACGUGCCAGCCGCCGCCGUAA